This 253-nucleotide ribosomal RNA is filed under the name uncultured bacterium. Its description in RNAcentral is "partial 16S ribosomal RNA". It matches the Rfam family "Bacterial small subunit ribosomal RNA", at positions 524 to 776 of the family's 1533-position model. The record is from RNAcentral.
UACAGAGGUUUCAAGCGUUGUUCGGAUUCAUUGGGCGUAAAGGGUGCGUAGGCGGCUCGGUAAGUCGGGUGUGAAAUCUUGAAGCUUAACUCCGAAACUGCAUUCGAUACUGCCGUGCUUGAGGACUGGAGAGGAGACUGGAAUUUACGGUGUAGCGGUGAAAUGCGUAGAUAUCGUAAGGAAGACCAGUGGCGAAGGCGGGUCUCUGGACAGUUCCUGACGCUGAGGCACGAAGGUCAGGGGAGCAAACGGG